UUGUAAAGUGCUGGGUGCUGCAGAGGCAGUCUCAGAGUGCAUCGGCUCUGGUUCCUGACUCCGUUUGCAGACAAAGGGAGCGAGCUAGAUCGCCCUGGUGUUUCACGUGAGUCCUGUGCCACCCAGCCCGCCUCAGUGCCCAGCAACAGAGAGAGUCGCAGGGGACGAGCUGCAGAAUGGCACGGCAGGGAGGCGAGAAAUCCCGACCCAGACAGCACAGAAAGGGGAUCCAGCACUGAACCGCAGCUGGGAGAAGCAGAAGAAGACGAUCCAGAUAUUCCAGUGACAUUCAACGAUGUGGCUGUGCAUUUCACCAAGGAGGAGUGGAGUCGUCUGGACAAAAGGCAGAGAGAGCUCUACAGGGAUGUCAUGCAGGAGAAUUUUGAGACCGUUCUCUCUAGAUUGUCGAGAUGCCAAGGAAAGGAUGAUACCAAGAGAAGCCUGCACAGGACCUGUAGCUGACUUUGUUGAUUCAGAAGAAGCAUAUCCAUAUUCUCCCUCAUUCUCCUCACUGUGUGAAGAUGACAGAGUAUUAAUUCCUACAGUUUAAAUUAUUGUAAGUGGUCCUUCAGAAAUCUUUUUUCUACUUACACUCUUCAAGUACAAGUCUGGACUGGUCCAUGGCUACUUUCUCUACGCCACCACUUGGCUGUUCCUCAUGACAUACUAUAGAAGAGGAAUGAAAAUAGUAUGGUCACAUUUUAAGUGUACUGUUCUACAUGUAUUAUUUUAAACCACACAUUUACAUUGAGCAGGAAUUAGGUCAUGAGCACCAUAAGACAGAAUUAUAAAUACAGGAUCAUCUGUACCUGAACUCUUGCUCCCAGUUCUCCACUGCCUUGCUCCAGAUCAGAAGGGAAGCUUAUUUCACCCAUGUUACAAAAGUGAAGGCGAGAACCCACAAUGUAAGCCAGGUGAACACACACAUCCCCAGUAGUCAUUUGAUGACCUAUAUUAAGCUCAUAAGAGCAAACUAUGACAUCCCUAAUCAGCAUUAAAAGCUUUUCAGAUUUGACUGUAAUCAACUAUUCUUUGGCCCUGGCCUCUCUCACCUAUAGCAGUCCAGUAGAGUAGGUCUCUUUCUCCCUUUUUUUGGCAGGUGUAGGAGGGCCCAACAAAGUGCGAAAACUAGAUUUCUUAUCUUGAGUAAACACAUUUUGCUUAUUGUAGUUCUUGAGCGACUUGUCUGAUUCACUUCAAAACUGAUAGGCAAAAAUCCUAACUCAGUACCAAAAUGAACAUGUACAUUUUUAGAGCAAUAGGAUUCAUUUUGGCAUAUUACAACAUGGAUUGUGCCCCUUCUAUAACACUCAGUUGCAGCAACUAUCAGGUAAAUAUUAC
This 1341-nucleotide long non-coding RNA is filed under the name Pelusios castaneus (West African mud turtle). RNAcentral describes it as "lncRNA (ENSPCEG00000011901.1)". The record is from RNAcentral. Lineage: Eukaryota; Metazoa; Chordata; Testudines; Pelomedusidae.